This 3173-nucleotide long non-coding RNA is filed under the name Hordeum vulgare. Its description in RNAcentral is "long non-coding RNA (HVUL_LNC007725)". The record is from RNAcentral. Lineage: Eukaryota; Viridiplantae; Streptophyta; Magnoliopsida; Poales; Poaceae.
UUAAGACACCUUGACGUACUAUACAUCUAUUUCUUUGCAUAGAACCAAUAAACAAACAUCACUGAGUUCGGAGUAGCAAGGCAAACAAAAUAAAGACUAUGCAAACAAGAAUGAUGUAGUGCCACUUGAAUGGAAGAAUACAUAUUGCUAAUAAUAAUACACUUUACCAGCCCUCUCAUGGAGAAUGAAUUAAUUGCAACUGGUGAAACUUCCUUCCAGAUGAAUGAAUGCAUCGAGGUAAAAUAGCAAACACAUGAUUAUAUCAUCCGUGGAGACAAAAACACCUUAAAGAAAGCAAAAACUCAAAACGAUAAUUUACGACUUUCACCUCAAGACGAUUCGCCUCAAUCACCAGCACAUGAAAGACCAAUGAACUGAAGAUCGAAGGUGCCACACGCAUAGAAGUUUGAUACUUCUAUUUCCAGUAAACUGAAGAAACAAAAUAAUAAAGGAGAAGCUAAUGACAUGUGUGCACAACAAGCAUAUGGAAAAGACCAAUGUAGUACAUGAGGGUAUCUUCAGUUUGCAUAGAUAAUCAGUGAAUAAAAGGGCAUAAUUUAGCUAGCCUGCUAUAUAAUUCAUACUAAUUAAAAAACACAACUCUUAUCACAUCAUAUUCAAUAAUUCCAAAGCUAGAGCAAAUUAGAACAUAUCUUCUCAUUAUAAUUUCAUUUUCUAAUAAGACAUUUUCAUCAUCAUGCCAUGUUUGACAAAGUUCCCCUGCCCAAAGGAUAAAAUGUAGGGGGGGAAUGCAUUUCAGUUGUCAUGCUUUCUUGAAACACUAUUUUUUGUACAUUGUAUAAGGUGGAUUGGCAAGCCCCUUUAUAGAAAUUUAGUGGUGAAUAAAUCUGAGUGUGAGAGUGAGUCUUACUACACUUCAACAACAUUCAAGCUUCACCAGGAGCAUUUGAAACCAAAUUCAUGGUCAGGAAAUAUCAAAUCUCUAGAAAAAAAUACAGUUUUCUAUAAAUAAAAUAAAGAAUUGGGCAUUAACCUAUAUAUGACUUGGGAGGAAUGUGUGUGUUUCACAGAAUUCAAUAUGCCUAGUAUAAACAAAAGAGCAUGUGUAUGCAUGUUAUACGUUGAGCCUGCCCGGGUGUCGGCGACCACAUUUGCAUAUAGCAACGAGCAGGCCUCAUCUAUGAUGCCGUGUGUGAAUAUUUGCCUGCUGCCGCUGACAGUGCCAGUCAAGAGGGCAUGUGGUAGAACAUGAACUAACAUAUUGAUGACCAGAUCACCAAGUACCACCACAAAUACUGUAAUUGCAAAACACAUUGUGGUUUUCAUAAUAUACAGCAGAAAAUUGUAGACACACACUCAUGCCCUUACAGGCGUGACCAUACCAUGUCACACUAUCAAUUCCUCCUCAUCGUUGUCAUCCCAAUCGGUAGGCCUAGAUUCUUUUGCGGGUUCAUUUGUCGGUGACGUGUGGACAUGCGACUCGAGGUCCGGCAUCACCGUAGUGAGAAGACUGGGUGUGAUACAAACAGAGCCUAAAUCGUAUCCUCAAAUAAGCCUAUGAAAUAAUCCAAUCCUUCUACUGCACAAUCUAGUAUAAAUCCCAAGUAACACAUGCAUGCUGAGAGAUGUAUGCUACAUUACUGAAUUGGGCCUGCCCAAGUCACCCUACCUCACUAACUCCUACACAAAGUAUACUUUGCUGAAUUUUGCAUCUACCGAUUAAUGAACCACACUAAAUUAAGCAAACACACGUCAGUACAGAGAACGAAUGCUCAUGCAAAAUCGUUAGUCCACGAGACAGGCGAGCUGCUUAAUGAACAAUUCAGUUUGGAUACAGAAAAAUUGAGUACAACUUAUAGUUCGAAGCAUCCGUACAACUGAUAUGGCCGUUCCUCUGUGUGCCCACGGUGCGGCAGCGUGGAGGCGCGCACGUACGAUAUCGUUCGCCAGCGUCCGCCUUGCGUAUGUCCAUGUCCCCAGCGGGGGCGGCAGCUCCCGGCAUUGAAUCAAGGAGUGUGAAUUUCAGUGAAACACUAAUACACAAAUGUCUAAACAGACAGUAACACCAUGAAUAAAUUGAUUCUGCUCCUUUACCUCUGCAUAUCCAUGUGAGGGUAGAAAAAAGGAUUAAGAGGGAGAUGGGGUUGUUUGCCGUACCUGCACAUCAUAUGGUGGUGCCGAUGGUGAACGACGACUACGCACGUGCUGCGAUGGUGCAGGAUCAACCGCGGCUGCUCCUCGCUCACCAGGAUCCUGUAGGUGGUGGUGCUUGAGGCCAAGAAGAUGGUAUGGGCAUCUAGAUCAAUACCACUGAAAUACAGUAAUCGUACACACAAAGAUGGUACGGGCAGUCAUUUCAUUUCCUGUUAGCAUCUACGUCCAUUUUAUGAGCUUGACUGCUGACUGCUAACUGCUCCUACUCCAUCAAAAAUUACCUUCUGGUGAAGCAAGGUUAUUUGCAAGCAGCACAUACUUGAACAUUAUCUGUUGGAUAAACUGUCUUCGUGUGACUGAAGCAGAAAUGUGGAAGAAAGACACAGAGGUUCAUAUAAAAUCAUAUGAUAGCAAUGACGCUGGCACCCACAAGAUGGGAAAAUAAUUUCAUGCAUAGUAGUGAUUGUAAUGAAAUAUUAAUUACCAUUUUGCAUGCAUGACUUGAAUUUGAUCUCUAAUUUGUAGGUACAAAAACUGACCAUCCAUACAUGAAUUCACCCAAGACUAAUGAAUACUAACUUCAUAGAUGGCAAGAAACCUAGCAGCGCAGCAGCACGCACAGGAAGACCCAAGCCUUCUUAGUGUACAUUAGGCUCUAAUUGAUCUAGGCACAAGGUUUCACAACAGUGGUUAUAUGGGUAGUAAAAAACAUUUAGGCUAAAUCUGAAGCUAUCUAUGUAUGUCCAAAUUUAGAUCUAGCAACAGAAAUAUAAAGAUACACACACACGGGUUACUACCAAUAAAUAAUAAUGUCUAUAUCGAGUUUCUUGAAACAAAAGGAACACGUCAAUUGAGUUCUCGACAAGAACUUUCCCAAGAAAUUUUGAUCCUAGCAUUUGGCAAUUUGUUUCAAAGAGAAAAUCUUGAUACUGCCACACAUGUGAACCGAGCACAAUUAUUCUCUGAUUUUAUUCAGCAACAACUCUCUCUAGACUUCUUUACAGCUGAAAGAAGGGAGAAAUGAACUAUAGCUCACAGUCUCUAAUCUCAACAAAAUA